RNAcentral lists this ribosomal RNA (515 nucleotides) under delta proteobacterium KB5. Its description in RNAcentral is "bacterial SSU rRNA". It matches the Rfam family "Bacterial small subunit ribosomal RNA", at positions 381 to 889 of the family's 1533-position model. Lineage: Bacteria; Deltaproteobacteria. The record is from RNAcentral.
CCCUGACGCAGCGACGCCGCGUGGAUGAUGAAGGCCUUCGGGUCGUAAAAUCCUGUCAGAUGGAAAGAAGUGUAUAGAUGUUAAUACCAUUUAUAUUUGACGGUACCAUCAAAGGAAGCACCGGCUAACUCCGUGCCAGCAGCCGCGGUAAUACAGGAGGGUGCAAGCGUUGUUCGGAAUUACUGGGCGUAAAGCGCGCGUAGGCGGUUUUAUAAGUCAGAUGUGAAAGUCCACGGCUCAACCGUGGAAGUGCAUUUGAAACUGUAUUACUUGAGUACUGGAGGGGGUGGUGGAAUUCCCGGUGUAGGGUGAAAUUCGUAGAUAUCGGGAGGAAUACCGGUGGCGAAGGCGACCACCUGGCCAGAUACUGACGCUGAGGUGCGAAAGCGUGGGGAGAAACAGGAUUAGAUACCCUGGUAGUCCACGCCGUAAACGAUGUCAACUAGGUGUUGGGGCGGUUAAUCGUCUCAUUGCCGGACGUAACGCAUUAAGUUGACCGCCUGGGAGUACGUCGC